GUAAUAACUAUGAAAAGGCGAGUAAAUAGGAUUGUUUCUAACAGGGAUAAACUGUCGUGAUUGAGAACAGUUUUUAAAAAAGCCUAUUGAAAGAACACCUUGGAGUUGAUGCAUAUGCAUCCGGGGCAUCGUUAAAUGUGAAUAAGUUGGGGCAUAAUAAGUAUGCCCAAAUUGGGUGGCACCGCGGGUAAGUCUCGUCCCAAAA
This is a non-coding RNA of Clostridiaceae bacterium BRH_c20a, 205 nucleotides long. The record is from Rfam. NCBI's taxonomy places the organism in Bacteria, Bacillati, Bacillota, Clostridia, Eubacteriales, Clostridiaceae.